CUCUCCUGAGAGCUAGACUGACAAACCUAUUACCUGACGGAACUUUGCUCAUGUGGGCUCCGAGGAAAAGUUGCCUAACUCAGAAGUCAGCAAAUCUCACGUGUGUUUCUGACUGAGCUCCAAACCCUGAGGCAAAGCAGGUGCUGGAUGGCUGGGCUGGAUGGCAAUCUUGAACAACAACAUCCUGUGCUUAACUCAGUUAUCACUCAUCACACCUCCUGAUACUCAGUCAUUUUCUCCAGACUAAACUUCUGAACCUCAAAUUCUUUCCUUAAGAUUGACAGAAAGAAGGCUGAUGAUGAGUGAAAAAGGCCCUACACAGCUGGGUCACAGGCUACUUCUUCGGCCUCACCUCUUACCACUGCCCCUUCCUUCACUGUCCUCCAGCCACAGUGACCUCUUUCCCGGUCCUUUGAACUUGCCAAGCACCUUCCCUUCUCAGGGUCUUUGCCUUUGCUAGUGUUUCUGCAUGAAACUCUUUUCCCAGAUAGCCACAGGACUGGCUCAUUCUCAUCCUUCAGAUCUCUGCUUAAACGUUAGUUUCUCUGGGAGGUCUUUUCUGGCCACUAUAACUAAAAUAGCACACUGCCUCCUCACUUCCUGCUCCUUUACUUUUCCUAGCGGCAGUUAUAC
Long non-coding RNA from Balaenoptera ricei (Rice's whale), 633 nucleotides. RefSeq lists it as uncharacterized. The record is from RefSeq and is a predicted model, not a curated record. NCBI's taxonomy places the organism in Eukaryota, Metazoa, Chordata, Mammalia, Artiodactyla, Balaenopteridae. The transcript has 3 exons.